Molecule: unclassified non-coding RNA, 376 nt
Filed under: soil metagenome
Description: partial contains 5.8S ribosomal RNA, internal transcribed spacer 2, and large subunit ribosomal RNA
Rfam family: 5.8S ribosomal RNA (bases 1-120)
Source: RNAcentral
GAUGAAGAACGUAGCGAAAUGCGAUAAGUAAUGUGAAUUGCAGAAUUCAGUGAAUCAUCGAAUCUUUGAACGCAUCUUGCGCUCCUUGGUAUUCUGAGGAGCAUGCCUGUUUGAGUGUCAUUAAAUUCUCAACUACACUGACUUUGAAUUGGUGUGGCUUGGAUUUGGGGGGAAAAUUGUUGUGGGCUUUUUGUAUAGUCUGCUCCCCUGAAAUUGAUUAGCGGUACCUUUGUGGAACUGUCUACAGGUGUGAUAAUUAUCUACAUCUUAGACAUCUGCUGGAAUGCUGCUUUCUAAACCUUACUUGUAUUGACAAUCUUGACCUCAGAUCAGGUAGGACUACCCGCUGAACUUAAGCAUAUCAAUAAGCGGAGGA